This 507-nucleotide ribosomal RNA is filed under the name uncultured bacterium. RNAcentral describes it as "bacterial SSU rRNA". It matches the Rfam family "Bacterial small subunit ribosomal RNA", at positions 17 to 518 of the family's 1533-position model. The record is from RNAcentral.
AUAUGGCUCAGGAUGAACGCUAGCUACAGGCUUAACACAUGCAAGUCGAGGGGCAGCAUGACCUAGCAAUAGGUUGAUGGCGACCGGCGCACGGGUGAGUAACACGUAUCCAACCUACCGGUUAUUCCGGGAUAGCCUUUCGAAAGAAAGAUUAAUACCGGAUAGUAUAGCGAGAAGGCAUCUUCUUGUUAUUAAAGAAUUUCGAUAACCGAUGGGGAUGCGUUCCAUUAGUUUGUUGGCGGGUAACGGCCCACCAAGACAUCGAUGGAUAGGGGUUCUGAGAGGAAGGUCCCCCCACAUUGGAACUGAGACACGGUCCAAACUCCUACGGGAGGCAGCAGUGAGGAAUAUUGGUCAAUGGACGAGAGUCUGAACCAGCCAAGUAGCGUGAAGGAUGACUGCCCUAUGGGUUGUAAACUUCUUUUAUAUGGGAAUAAAGUGAGCCACGUGUGGCUUUUUGUAUGUACCAUACGAAUAAGGAUCGGCUAACUCCGUGCCAGCAGCGGC